Long non-coding RNA from Strigops habroptila (Kakapo), 154 nucleotides. RefSeq lists it as uncharacterized. NCBI's taxonomy places the organism in Eukaryota, Metazoa, Chordata, Aves, Psittaciformes, Psittacidae. The record is from RefSeq and is a predicted model, not a curated record. The transcript has 2 exons.
CGUGUCAGUGGGAUACUUGUCUCAUUCACCGCAGAAGAUGGGUACUGAAUCAGGCAAAGGUCUACAGAAAGCCUACUGUCACUAUCAACAGCCAUUAAUGCUAGACCCUCAAAAAUUUCAGACAAAUGCAGUGUUGCAGAUUUGCUAUCUAAUG